GACGAACGCUGGCGGCGUGCUUAACACAUGCAAGUCGAACGGAAAGGCCCUGCUUUUGUGGGGUGCUCGAGUGGCGAACGGGUGAGUAACACGUGAGUAACCUGCCCUUGACUUUGGGAUAACUUCAGGAAACUGGGGCUAAUACCGGAUAGGAGCUCCUGCUGCAUGGUGGGGGUUGGAAAGUUUCGGCGGUUGGGGAUGGACUCGCGGCUUAUCAGCUUGUUGGUGGGGUAGUGGCUUACCAAGGCUUUGACGGGUAGCCGGCCUGAGAGGGUGACCGGCAACAGUGGGACUGAGAUACGGCCCAGACUCCUACGGGAGGCAGCAGUGGGGAAUAUUGCACAAUGGGCGGAAGCCUGAUGCAGCAACGCCGCGUGCGGGAUGACGGCCUUCGGGUUGUAAACCGCUUUCGCCUGUGACGAAGCGUGAGUGACGGUAAUGGGUAAAGAAGCACCGGCUAACUACGUG
This 468-nucleotide ribosomal RNA is filed under the name uncultured bacterium. RNAcentral describes it as "partial 16S ribosomal RNA". It matches the Rfam family "Bacterial small subunit ribosomal RNA", at positions 28 to 507 of the family's 1533-position model. The record is from RNAcentral.